This 835-nucleotide long non-coding RNA is filed under the name Medicago truncatula (barrel medic). Its description in RNAcentral is "lncRNA gene28851". Lineage: Eukaryota; Viridiplantae; Streptophyta; Magnoliopsida; Fabales; Fabaceae. The record is from RNAcentral.
CAGAUUCGUUUUAACCCUUUAGAGGUCCUGAAGCUAAUACUCUCAGAACACAUCUCUUUCUCUGUGGUCCCCACGUACACGUGUUUGUCUAUGUCUCUUGUGUUGGACACUGACAUGUGUCGCACACCAGACUCAUCUUCGAUCAGAAGUGUAGGUGCUACAGAGGUUGCUACCGAUUAUGCAGAGGAUUAGCUCCUGAUGGCACACCUCUCUUGUCUUCCAACUCUGGAUUGCUACUUCUAGAUAGAUUUUUACGCGAUGAAGCAGAACUUGUGAAAUUCAACAAACCACCAGCAAUACAAAACCCAGAAUUGCAGAAGAUUAGUAGAAUCAGCAGCACAGAAAAAGCGCUCAUUUCACUUGUUAGCAUCACAGAAUUUGAAUCAAUUUCUGAAAACUAUACAACUACUAUUGUCCCUCGACGGUGGCAAAACUAAUACUACCAACUAUAGAUUAUAUAUAGUGGUUCUAGUUACGUUGCAAACCUUUAUAUUGCAGAAAAAUGCGGGAAUAAGAUGUCAAAAUUGCGGUUGCAAUACUGUUGUGGAGACUUUAAAAUCCCUUAUAUUACAGUGGCAAUACUGUUGUGGAGGCUUCAAAAUCCCUUAUAUUACCGUGGCAAUACUGUUGCGGAGACUUCAAAAUCCUUGAUACUGCAGUUGCAAUAGUGGUUACUGAUACUAUUGGAGAGACUUCAAAAUCUUUUAUAUGGUGGCAAUUGCGCUUGCAGAAAACAAUUAAACCAUGUCUAGUAGAAAUGAAAGGAAAGAAAAGAAAACUUGGAAGGGCCACCAACACAAAAUUUUAACAAUUUAUGCUAAAAGAUGGCCAACAU